This 199-nucleotide long non-coding RNA is filed under the name Elaeis guineensis (African oil palm). Its description in RNAcentral is "long non-coding RNA (EGUI_LNC011700)". The record is from RNAcentral. Lineage: Eukaryota; Viridiplantae; Streptophyta; Magnoliopsida; Arecales; Arecaceae.
UGUUGAUAUCGUCCCUAUGAAGCGAUAAAAUUAGUGAUGGAAAUUUGUUAUAGUGGCAAAGUCAAACUCGCUGAUUUCUAGUUUUCGAAAAAAACAACUCGUUGAUCUCUAUGGAGCAUAAAAAAAAUAUUGAAGAAUUGAAAUCUAAUGUAUUAAUAUGGGAAGUCCAUUGAAUGGUAGCCUUCGAUUGCUGGGUGAG